UACAGAGGGUGCGAGCGUUGUCCGGAAUCACUGGGCGUAAAGGGCGCGUAGGUGGCGACCCAAGUCGAUGGUGAAAGCUCGCCGCUCAACGGCGAGUCGGCCACCGAUACUGGGUUGCUGGAGCACUGUAGAGGCUCAUGGAAUUCCGGGUGUAGCGGUGGAAUGCGUAGAGAUCCGGAAGAACGACCGGUGGCGAAGGCGGUGAGCUGGGCAGUUGC
RNAcentral lists this ribosomal RNA (218 nucleotides) under uncultured bacterium. RNAcentral's name for it is "partial 16S ribosomal RNA". It matches the Rfam family "Bacterial small subunit ribosomal RNA", at positions 524 to 740 of the family's 1533-position model. The record is from RNAcentral.